Molecule: ribosomal RNA, 3120 nt
Filed under: Clavibacter michiganensis subsp. michiganensis
Lineage: Bacteria; Bacillati; Actinomycetota; Actinomycetes; Micrococcales; Microbacteriaceae
Description: 23S ribosomal RNA
Rfam family: Bacterial large subunit ribosomal RNA
Source: RNAcentral
UUUCAAGAUUCUAAGAGCAAACGGUGGAUGCCUUGGCAUCUGGAGCCGAAGAAGGACGUAUAAAUCUGCGAUAAGCCUCGGGGAGCUGAUAAUAGAGCUUUGAUCCGAGGAUCUCCGAAUGGGGAAACCCCGCCAGGCCCUUUGGGUGACCUGGUGACUCCCGCCUGAAUAUAUAGGGCGGGUAGAGGGAACGUGGGGAAGUGAAACAUCUCAGUACCCACAGGAAGAGAAAGCAAAAGCGAUUCCGUUAGUAGUGGCGAGCGAAACCGGAAGAGGCCAAACCGAUCAUGUGUGAUAUCCGGUAGGAGUUGCAUGGUCGGGGUUGCGGGACUUUCCGUACAGUUCUACCGAGCUGUGAGGGCAAUGAGCGCGAUAUAGACGAAUGGUCUUGAAAGGCCAGUCAUAGAGGGUGCGAACCCCGUAGUCGAAAUGUCGUCGCCUGUCCGGAGAGUAUCCCAAGUAGCACGGGGCCCGAGAAAUCCCGUGUGAAUCUGUCAGGACCACCUGAUAAGCCUAAAUACUCCCAGAUGACCGAUAGCGGACAAGUACCGUGAGGGAAAGGUGAAAAGUACCCCGGGAGGGGAGUGAAAUAGUACCUGAAACCGUUUGCUUACAAACCGUUGGAGCACCCUUGUUGGUGUGACAGCGUGCCUUUUGAAGAAUGAGCCUGCGAGUUAGUGAUAUGUGGCGAGGUUAACCCGUGUGGGGCAGCCGUAGCGAAAGCGAGUCUUAAUAGGGCGUAUGAGUCGCAUGUUCUAGACCCGAAGCGAAGUGAUCUAUCCAUGGCCAGGUUGAAGCGACGGUAAGACGUCGUGGAGGACCGAACCCACUUCAGUUGAAAAUGGAGGGGAUGAGCUGUGGAUAGGGGUGAAAGGCCAAUCAAACUUCGUGAUAGCUGGUUCUCUCCGAAAUGCAUUUAGGUGCAGCGUUGCGUGUUUCUUGCCGGAGGUAGAGCUACUGGAUGGACGAUGGGCCCCAAAAGGUUACUGACUUCAGCCAAACUCCGAAUGCCGGUAAGUGAGAGCGCAGCAGUGAGACGGUGGGGGAUAAGCUUCAUCGUCGAGAGGGAAACAACCCAGACCACCAUCUAAGGUCCCUAAGCGCGUGCUAAGUGGGAAAGGAUGUGGAGUUGCAUAGACAACCAGGAGGUUGGCUUAGAAGCAGCCACCCUUGAAAGAGUGCGUAAUAGCUCACUGGUCAAGUGAUUCCGCGCCGACAAUGUAACGGGGCUCAAGCACGCCACCGAAGUUGUGGCAUUUAUAUUAUAGGCAGGCCUUCGUGGUCCAGCCGUAUGGAUGGGUAGGAGAGCGUCGUGUGGCCAGCGAAGCGGCGGUGUGAACCAGCCGUGGAGGCCACACGAGUGAGAAUGCAGGCAUGAGUAGCGAAAGACGGGUGAGAAACCCGUCCUCCGAAAGACCAAGGGUUCCAGGGCCAGGCUAAUCCGCCCUGGGUAAGUCGGGACCUAAGGCGAGGCCGACAGGCGUAGUCGAUGGACAACGGGUUGAUAUUCCCGUACCGAUGAAGAACCGCCCAAGACAAUCCAGUAAUGCUAAGUGUCUGAAUCCUUAAUUCGAUCCCUUCGGGGUGACGGUCUUGGCCUAGCACACGACCCUACGCUGGGGCGUUUAGCGUAUUAACAGGUGUGACGCAGGAAGGUAGCUGAGCCGGGCGAUGGUUGUCCCGGUCUAAGGAUGUAGGGCAGAAGAUAGGCAAAUCCGUCUUCUAUGUAGCCUGAGACCCGAUGGGUAGUCCUUACGGACGAAAUCAGUGAUCCUAUGCUGCCGAGAAAAGCAUCGACGCGAGGUUCCAAUCGCCCGUACCCCAAACCGACUCAGGUGGUCAGGUAGAGAAUACUAAGGAGAUCGAGAGAAUCGUGGUUAAGGAACUCGGCAAAAUGCCCCCGUAACUUCGGGAGAAGGGGGGCCUGAGGCGUGUAGGGAUUUACUCCUGAAGCGUUUGAAGGCCGCAGAGACCAGUGGGAAGCGACUGUUUACUAAAAACACAGGUCCGUGCUAAGUCGCAAGACGAUGUAUACGGACUGACGCCUGCCCGGUGCUGGAAGGUUAAGAGGAACGGUUAGCACGCAAGUGCGAAGCUGAGAAUUUAAGCCCCAGUAAACGGCGGUGGUAACUAUAACCAUCCUAAGGUAGCGAAAUUCCUUGUCGGGUAAGUUCCGACCUGCACGAAUGGCGUAACGACUUCCCAGCUGUCUCAACCGCGAACUCGGCGAAAUUGCACUACGAGUAAAGAUGCUCGUUACGCGCAGCAGGACGGAAAGACCCCGUGACCUUUACUACAGCUUGGUAUUGGUGUUCGGUGUGGCUUGUGUAGGAUAGGUGGGAGACUGUGAAGCUCGGACGCUAGUUCGGGUGGAGUCAUUGUUGAAAUACCACUCUGGUCACUCUGGAUAUCUAACUUCGAACCGUAAUCCGGUUCAGGGACAGUGCCUGGUGGGUAGUUUAACUGGGGCGGUUGCCUCCUAAAGAGUAACGGAGGCGCCCAAAGGUUCCCUCAACCUGGUUGGUAAUCAGGUGUCGAGUGUAAGUGCACAAGGGAGCUUGACUGUGAGACUGACAAGUCGAGCAGGGACGAAAGUCGGGACUAGUGAUCCGGCAGUGGCUUGUGGAAGCGCUGUCGCUCAACGGAUAAAAGGUACCUCGGGGAUAACAGGCUGAUCUUGCCCAAGAGUCCAUAUCGACGGCAUGGUUUGGCACCUCGAUGUCGGCUCGUCGCAUCCUGGGGCUGGAGUAGGUCCCAAGGGUUGGGCUGUUCGCCCAUUAAAGCGGUACGCGAGCUGGGUUUAGAACGUCGUGAGACAGUUCGGUCCCUAUCCGCUGCGCGCGUAGGAAAUUUGAGAAGAUCUAUCCCUAGUACGAGAGGACCGGGAUGGACGAACCUCUGGUGUGUCAGUUGUUCCGCCAGGAGCACCGCUGAUUAGCUACGUUCGGAACGGAUAACCGCUGAAAGCAUCUAAGCGGGAAGCCGGCUUCGAGAUGAGAUUUCCAUCCCUUUUAGGGUGAAGGCUCCCGGCUAGACUACCGGGUUGAUAGGCAGGAUGUGGAAGCGAGGACUAAAGACUCGUGGAGCUGACCUGUACUAAUAAGCCGAUAUCUUGAAAAC